GACGAACGCUGGCGGCGUGCUUAACACAUGCAAGUCGAACGGAGCACCCUUGAAUGAGGUUUCGGCCAAAGGAAAGGAAUGCUUAGUGGCGGACUGGUGAGUAACGCGUGAGGAACCAGCCUUUCAGAGGGGGACAACAGCUGGAAACGGCUGCUAAUACCGCAUGACGCAUUCGGAUGGCAUCAUCUGAAUGCCAAAGAUUUAUCGCUGAAAGAUGGCCUCGCGUCUGAUUAGAUAGUUGGCGGGGUAAUGGCCCACCAAGUCGACGAUCAGUAGCCGGACUGAGAGGUUGACCGGCCACAUUGGGACUGAGAUACGGCCCAGACUCCUACGGGAGGCAGCAGUGGGGAAUAUUGGGCAAUGGGCGCAAGCCUGACCCAGCAACGCCGCGUGAAGGAAGAAGGCUUUCGGGUUGUAAACUUCUUUUAAGAGGGAAGAGCAGAAGACGGUACCUCUUGAAUAAGCCACGGCUAACUACGUGCCAGCAGCCG
RNAcentral lists this ribosomal RNA (491 nucleotides) under uncultured bacterium. RNAcentral's name for it is "bacterial SSU rRNA". It matches the Rfam family "Bacterial small subunit ribosomal RNA", at positions 28 to 517 of the family's 1533-position model. The record is from RNAcentral.